RNAcentral lists this ribosomal RNA (113 nucleotides) under Escherichia coli. RNAcentral also lists the same sequence under 6 other names. Lineage: Bacteria; Pseudomonadati; Pseudomonadota; Gammaproteobacteria; Enterobacterales; Enterobacteriaceae. The record is from RNAcentral.
UGGCGGCCUUAGCGCGGUGGUCCCACCUGACCCCAUGCCGAACUCAGAAGUGAAACGCCGUAGCGCCGAUGGUAGUGUGGGGUCUCCCCAUGCGAGAGUAGGGAACUGCCAGG